RNAcentral lists this ribosomal RNA (429 nucleotides) under Bacillota bacterium. RNAcentral's name for it is "Firmicutes bacterium partial 16S ribosomal RNA". It matches the Rfam family "Bacterial small subunit ribosomal RNA", at positions 355 to 776 of the family's 1533-position model. The record is from RNAcentral. Lineage: Bacteria; Bacillati; Bacillota.
UAGGGAAUCUUCGGCAAUGGACGGAAGUCUGACCGAGCAACGCCGCGUGAGUGAAGAAGGUUUUCGGAUCGUAAAGCUCUGUUGUUAGAGAAGAACGUUGGUAGGAGUGGAAAAUCUACCAAGUGACGGUAACUAACCAGAAAGGGACGGCUAACUACGUGCCAGCAGCCGCGGUAAUACGUAGGUCCCGAGCGUUGUCCGGAUUUAUUGGGCGUAAAGCGAGCGCAGGCGGUUCUUUAAGUCUGAAGUUAAAGGCAGUGGCUUAACCAUUGUACGCUUUGGAAACUGGAGGACUUGAGUGCAGAAGGGGGGAGUAGAAUUCCAUGUGUAGCGGUGAGCUGCGUAGAUAUAUGGAGGAACACCGGUGGCGAAAGCGGCUCUCUGGUCUGUAACUGACGCUGAGGCUCGAAAGCGUGGGGAGCAAACAGG